AUUGAACGCUGGCGGCAGGCUUAACACAUGCAAGUCGAGCGGAGAGAGGUAGCUUGCUACCGAUCUUAGCGGCGGACGGGUGAGUAAUGCUUAGGAAUCUGCCUAUUAGUGGGGGACAACAUUUCGAAAGGAAUGCUAAUACCGCAUACGUCCUACGGGAGAAAGCAGGGGAUCUUCGGACCUUGCGCUAAUAGAUGAGCCUAAGUCGGAUUAGCUAGUUGGUGGGGUAAAGGCCUACCAAGGCGACGAUCUGUAGCGGGUCUGAGAGGAUGAUCCGCCACACUGGGACUGAGACACGGCCCAGACUCCUACGGGAGGCAGCAGUGGGGAAUAUUGGACAAUGGGCGGAAGCCUGAUCCAGCCAUGCCGCGUGUGUGAAGAAGGCCUUAUGGUUGUAAAGCACUUUUAAGCGAGGAGGAGGCUACUUUAGUUAAUACCUAGAGAUAGUGGACGUUACUCGCAGAAUAAGCACCGGCUAACU
Molecule: ribosomal RNA, 481 nt
Filed under: uncultured bacterium
Lineage: Bacteria
Description: bacterial SSU rRNA
Rfam family: Bacterial small subunit ribosomal RNA
Source: RNAcentral